This 1698-nucleotide ribosomal RNA is filed under the name human gut metagenome. RNAcentral describes it as "bacterial LSU rRNA". It matches the Rfam family "Bacterial large subunit ribosomal RNA", at positions 354 to 2074 of the family's 2925-position model. The record is from RNAcentral.
GAGAGAGGGUGAGAGCCCCGUACUCGAAAUGAGAGUCUGGAGAGAGAUGACACCUGAGUAGGGCGGGACACGAGAAAUCCUGUCUGAAUCAGCCGGGACCAUCCGGCAAGGCUAAAUACGAGAGAGUGACCGAUAGUGAACCAGUACCGUGAGGGAAAGGUGAAAAGAACCCCGGGAGGGGAGUGAAAGAGAACCUGAAACCAUAUGCCUACAAGAAGUCAGAGCCCGUUAAAGGGUGAUGGCGUGCCUUUUGUAGAAUGAACCGGCGAGUUACUGUAUGGAGCGAGGUUAAGCAGGAUAUGCGGAGCCGAAGCGAAAGCGAGUCUUAAGAGGGCGCGAGUUGCAUGCAGUAGACCCGAAACCGGGUGAUCUAGCCAUGACCAGGUUGAAGUUGGGGUAAAACCCGAUGGAGGACCGAACCGACCCCCGUUGAAACGUUGGCGGAUGAGUUGUGGCUAGGGGUGAAAUUCCAAUCGAACCCGGAGAUAGCUGGUUCUCCCCGAAAUAGCUUUAGGGCUAGCGUCGAGAGAAGAGUUGCGUGAAGGUAGAGCACUGAAUAUGUGAUGGCCCCAUCUCGGGGUACUGAGCAUAAUCAAACUGCGAAUGUCACGCCAACAUGCUCGGCAGUCAGACAGCGGGUGAUAAGGUCCGUUGUCAAGAGGGAAACAGCCCAGACCAUCAGCUAAGGUCCCAAAAUGUAUGCUAAGUGGAAAAGGAUGUGGAGAUGUACAGACAACUAGGAGGUUGGCUUAGAAGCAGCCAUCCUUUAAAGAGUGCGUAACAGCUCACUAGUCGAAUGACUCUGCGCCGAUAAUUUACCGGGGCUAAGCAUACUACCGAAGCUAUGGAUCCCAAGGGAUGGUAGGGGAGCGUUCCAUGAACGGAGAAGUACGACCGAAAGGACGUGUGGAGAUCAUGGAAGAGAGAAUGCCGGUGUGAGUAGCGGAACGUGGGUGAGAAUCCCACGCACCGAAAACCCAAGGUUUCCAGAGGAAGGUUCGUCCGCUCUGGGUAAGUCGGGACCUAAGGCGAGGCCGAAAGGCGUAGUCGAUGGACAACAGGUAGAGAUUCCUGUACCCGUAUAUAUGUGAAGGAAUGACGGAGAGAGGAAGCUGCAGCCAGCGGCUGGAAGAGCUGGUGCAAGCGAGAUAUCGGGAUGGCAGGCAAAUCCACCAUCCGAAACGAGAAGGCGUGAAGCGUACGGAAAGCUACGGCGAGUACGGAAGGCAGUGGAGGAACUUCCAAGAAAAGUUUCUAACGUUAAGUAUAUAUGGCCCGUACCGAAAAUGGACACACAUGGGUGAGGAGAGAAUCCUAAGGUGAGCGAGAGAACUAUAGCUAAGGAACUCUGCAAAAUGACUCCGUAACUUAGGGAGAAGGAGUGCUCAUAGAGAUAUGAGCCGCAGUGAAACGGCCCAAGCGACUGUUUACCAAAAACACAGCUCUCUGCUAAGCCGCAAGGCGAAGUAUAGGGGGUGACGCCUGCCCGGUGCUGGAAGGUUAAGGGGAGGGGUUAACGCAAGUGAAGCCCUGAACUGAAGCCCCAGUAAACGGCGGCCGUAACUAUAACGGUCCUAAGGUAGCGAAAUUCCUUGUCAGGUAAGUUCUGACCCGCACGAAAGGCGUAAUGAUUUGGGCACUGUCUCAACAGCCCGCCCGGCGAAAUUGUAGUACUGGUGAAGAUGCCAGUUACCCGCA